CUCUCUACACUACCUUGAAUCCAGAAAAAAGGGCUACACCAUUUGGGGCAGUAUAAUUAUCUAGUGGUUGUGAGGGUUGCUUGCCUACUACUAAUAAUCAGUUCUAUGUGUUGAGAAUGUUUAGAAAGACACAAGAGUAAUAGUAAGUCAUACACACACACGAUUAGUAGUAAGUCAUAUACACACAAGGGUUUCUAAGGAGAGAGAGCUUCACACACACAAAAAUCUAUUGAUCUGCUUGUGUCUCGUAUACAAGAAGAGAGAAGAUAAGAGGAUGAACAGUACUUCUCUACUAGACUCUAAAUACUGUAGCUACAAUAAUUACUAUAGUCUACAGUAAAUAUUAUGGAGAGCGUCGGCUACAUUUAAUGAUCUCAACACUCCUCCUCGCUCAUCAUAAUAUUUACAUAAUAUCAGAUUUAUAUAGAUUUAUGAUCUAUACUUUUCUGUGAUCUUGUAAGAUCAAGAAUUGUUGCCUCAUUAAAAC
RNAcentral lists this long non-coding RNA (487 nucleotides) under Physcomitrium patens. Its description in RNAcentral is "long non-coding RNA (PPAT_LNC013260)". The record is from RNAcentral. Lineage: Eukaryota; Viridiplantae; Streptophyta; Bryopsida; Funariales; Funariaceae.